UUCGACAAGUCACACCACAUGUCAGAACAAAAACCAGCCAUGAAGUCCAGGUAACUCUCUGUAGACCUCGGCAAUAAAAUUGUGGCAAGGCAUGGAUCAAGGCAAGGGUAUAACACAACUUCUAAAGCUUUGAGUGUUCCAAAGAACAGUGCACAGUGUCAAAUGGAAAAAGUUUGGAACCACCAGGACUCUUCUUAGAGUUGGCUGUCCGGCCAAACUGAGGAGCUGGGCAAGAAGGGCCUUGGUCAGAGAGGUAACGAGUCACCCAUUGUUCACUCUGAAAUAGCUUCAGGAGCCCUCUGCAGAGAGGGGAGAACCUGCUGGAAGGACGACCAUCUCAGCAGCGCUCCAUCAAUUAGGCCUUUAUGAUAGAGACGGAAGCCACUUUGAGAAAAAGGCAUAUGACAGUCUGCUUGGAGUUUGCCAAACAUAAUUUAAAGGAUUCUCAGAGCAUGAAGAAAAAGAUUCUCUGGUCUGAUGAGACUAAAAUUACAAUCUUUGGGCAGAACUCCAAGCACAAUGUCUAGGGACAGAAGACCUGAGACUGGGGCGACUGUGGCAGUUUGGCACAAGUCUCUGGCUGUCCAUGAUUGGCCCAGACUUAAAGCCCAUAGAACAUCUGUGCAGAAACCUGAAGAUGGCCGUUUACAGACACUUCCCCUCCCAUCUGACAAAGCUUGUGAGGAUCGGUAACAACAGGAUAAACUGCCCAAAUCCAGGUGUUUGAAGUUUGUACAGACUUACACAAGAUAACUAGAUGCUGUAAUUUCUGCCAAUGGGGCAUCUACAAAGUAUUGAAUUAAGGGUCUGAAUACUUUGUUAAAUGAGAUUACUUUUUUUU
Xiphias gladius (swordfish) is the source of this 841-nucleotide long non-coding RNA. RefSeq lists it as uncharacterized. The transcript has 2 exons. Lineage: Eukaryota; Metazoa; Chordata; Actinopteri; Istiophoriformes; Xiphiidae. The record is from RefSeq and is a predicted model, not a curated record.